AACAUGAAUGUAAUUGGAAUAGCCCUAAUGGUUUUUGUAAAAACAAAAACAAAAAAACAAACAAACGAAAAAGACAAUUUUGAUUCUUCUUUUAAAUCAGAGAACAGCCUUUUUAAAAAGUAUCCACUGCUGGAAUUUUUUUUUCUCUAAAAAAAUACGAUUCUACUUGCUUUUAGAUCUCCCACACACUAACCUAAUACAAAAAACCAAAACAAAAAACGCAAAACUCUUGGGGGGAGGGUGCCGUCCUCAGAACCUGGGAAAGAUUACUAUUUGAAACCAUAUUACUUAAAGUUUAUAACUCCCAGACUUUAUCUCAAUUUAAAAAAACUUUAAGAGGUGAUUAAAAUAGUUACUGCUUUGAAGGUAAUUACCAUUAUUAUUCAUUGACCACCUACUGUGUGCCAAGGGUUGUAUUUAAAUGCUUUUAAAGCAUUAGUUCAUUGACUCGCUGGAUCUGAGCUUUUUAAACACCACCCCUAUUUAAACUUAAGCCUGUUUAGGGCCAUCACUUCUGUAUUUUCAUAAUAUCAUUAUGCCUUUUCUGCUGGAGCCAGCUUCAAAGCCCAUACUGAAGGAGAAACUGGAGCUGCCUUCCUGGUACAAGUUUAAGUGCAUGCCCAGAUGGUUUCUACUUACAAUGUUUCCUCUUUUGUAAAUGCACAACAUUCACCCAAAGAUCGACCAUAAUGGAUUGUGAUUCUUCAGGUACAAUGAAGGCUGAAAAGGAAGACUGGUUGCAGAACCACAGCAAAGGAAUGACAUCGCUGAUGCUAAAGAGAAAUGACCGGAGAGUAUGGCAGGACCAGGGAUGAUGAUCGCCACCAGGGGUCACAAUAGCCAAUUUGGAUCAAUCAGAGUAAAGGAAGAUGACUCCAACCAACCAGGCAGCACAACCAGAAGCUUUUAUCCUGUAUACCUCGCAGUUGGCCAAGAAAUGAUCUGCUCAACUUUCCUAGUGAUGACAGGAGUGUGGUGACAGCAUUUUAAAAACAAGGUGAAUAUAGUGUACGCAUUACGACAGAGCUGCUGACAGUCGUUGGUGCUGUUUUGCUAUCAAAGUGUUUAAUUUUGCUUGUAUGUAUUAACGUUUUAGUGGUCACGAUCCCCCAAAUUCCUGCUUCCCAAAGGAUAGAACUCAAGUUGGAAUUCUUACAAAGGAUUCACUGUGUGGAA
Non-coding RNA from Sus scrofa (pig), 1176 nucleotides. NCBI's taxonomy places the organism in Eukaryota, Metazoa, Chordata, Mammalia, Artiodactyla, Suidae. The record is from RefSeq and is a predicted model, not a curated record.